UGCCGCGUGUGUGAUGAAUGCCCUUUGGGUUGUAAAGCACUUUUAGAUGGGAAGAAUGGACGAGAUUUAUCUUGUUAGAGACGGUACCAUCAGAAUAAGCACCGGCUAACUCCGUGCCAGCAGCCGCGGUAAUACGGAGGGUGCAAGCGUUAUCCGGAAUCACUGGGUUUAAAGGGUACGUAGGCGGCGGUAUAAGUCAGACGUCAAAGGCCAAGGCUAAACCUUGGUACGCGUUUGAAACUGUACGGCUUGAAUAUGUUCGAGGUGCAUGGAAUGCUUCAUGUAGCGGUGAAAUGCAUAGAUAUGAAGUAGAACACCAAUUGCGAAGGCAGUGCACUAGGGCAUUAUUGACGCUGAGGUACGAAAGCGUGGGUAGCGAACAGGAUUAGAUACCCUGGUAGUCCACGCCCUAAACGAUGCUAACUGGUUAUUGAUCGACUGAGGUCAGUAACUGAGGGAAACCAUUAAGUUAGCCACCUGGGGAGUACGUUCGCAAGAAUGAAACUCAAAGGAAUUGACG
RNAcentral lists this ribosomal RNA (520 nucleotides) under uncultured bacterium. RNAcentral describes it as "bacterial SSU rRNA". It matches the Rfam family "Bacterial small subunit ribosomal RNA", at positions 395 to 915 of the family's 1533-position model. The record is from RNAcentral.